AGAGUUUGAUCCUGGCUCAGGAUGAACGCUGGCGGCGUGCCUAAUACAUGCAAGUCGAGCGAACGGACGAGAAGCUUGCUUCUCUGAUGUUAGCGGCGGACGGGUGAGUAACACGUGGAUAACCUACCUAUAAGACUGGGAUAACUUCGGGAAACCGUAGCUAAUACCGGAUAAUAUUUUGAACCGCAUGGUUCAAAAGUGAAAGACGGUCUUGCUGUCACUUAUAGAUGGAUCCGCGCUGCAUUAGCUAGUUGGUAAGGUAACGGCUUACCAAGGCAACGAUGCAUAGCCGACCUGAGAGGGUGAUCGGCCACACUGGAACUGAGACACGGUCCAGACUCCUACGGGAGGCAGCAGUAGGGAAUCUUCCGCAAUGGGCGAAAGCCUGACGGAGCAACGCCGCGUGAGUGAUGAAGGUCUUCGGAUCGUAAAACUCUGUUAUUAGGGAAGAACAUAUGUGUAAGUAACUGUGCACAUCUUGACGGUACCUAAUCAGAAAGCCACGGCUAACUACGUGCCAGCAGCCGCGGUAAUACGUAGGUGGCAAGCGUUAUCCGGAAUUAUUGGGCGUAAAGCGCGCGUAGGCGGUUUUUUAAGUCUGAUGUGAAAGCCCACGGCUCAACCGUGGAGGGUCAUUGGAAACUGGAAAACUUGAGUGCAGAAGAGGAAAGUGGAAUUCCAUGUGUAGCGGUGAAAUGCGCAGAGAUAUGGAGGAACACCAGUGGCGAAGGCGACUUUCUGGUCUGUAACUGACGCUGAUGUGCGAAAGCGUGGGGAUCAAACAGGAUUAGAUACCCUGGUAGUCCACG
Molecule: ribosomal RNA, 809 nt
Filed under: Staphylococcus aureus W57390
Lineage: Bacteria; Bacillati; Bacillota; Bacilli; Caryophanales; Staphylococcaceae
Description: bacterial SSU rRNA
Rfam family: Bacterial small subunit ribosomal RNA
Source: RNAcentral